CGUGUCGCCGGCCAGCAGGUUCGAGGCCGUCGUCUCGAAUGCGACGAAGCCGCCGCCGUCGCUCGAGUCCGGGCUCGACGACGCGCC
RNAcentral lists this transfer RNA (87 nucleotides) under Capillimicrobium parvum. Its description in RNAcentral is "tRNA-Ser". The record is from RNAcentral. Lineage: Bacteria; Bacillati; Actinomycetota; Thermoleophilia; Solirubrobacterales; Capillimicrobiaceae.